CCUACGGGAGGCAGCAGUAAGGAAUAUUGGGCAAUGGGCGGAAGCCUGACCCAGCGACGCCGCGUGAGGGAUGAAGGCCUUCGGGUUGUAAACCUCUUUCAGCAGGGAAGAAGCGAAAGUGACGGUACCUGCAGAAGAAGCACCGGCUAACUAUGUGCCAGCAGCCGCGGUAAUACAUAGGGUGCAAGCGUUGUCCGGAAUUAUUGGGCGUAAAGAGCUCGUAGGUGGCUCGUCACGUCGAAUGUGAAACCCUGAGGCUCAACCUCAGGCCUGCAUCCGAUACGGGCGAACUGGAGUAUGGUAGGGGAGUCUGGAAUUCCUGGUGUAGCGGUGGAAUGCGCAGAUAUCAGGAGGAACACCAAUGGCGAAGGCAGGACUCUGGGCCAUUACUGACACUGAGGAGCGAAAGCGUGGGGAGCGAACAGGAUUAGAUACCCUGGUAGUCCACGCCGUAAACGGUGGGCACUAGUUGUGGGGACCUUCCACGGUCUCUGCGACGCAGCUAACGCAUUAAGUGCCCCGCCUGGGGAGUACGAUCGCAAGAUUAAAACUCAAAGGAAUUGACGG
RNAcentral lists this ribosomal RNA (567 nucleotides) under uncultured bacterium. RNAcentral describes it as "bacterial SSU rRNA". It matches the Rfam family "Bacterial small subunit ribosomal RNA", at positions 338 to 916 of the family's 1533-position model. The record is from RNAcentral.